UCAAGAUCGAUUUAGGCCUAUAGUCUGUAUAAAAGUAGGAAUGUUAGAAGAUCUCUGAUGAUUCAAGAACAUCAGUUUUGUAUUUAUAUUCUUUCUUCCGUGCUAUAUUGGUAAUACAUAGUAUUCACUGCUCACUAGUUUUACCAUAGAAAUUUUCUAGCUUUCUUAAUGUGGUCCCUGUAAGGAUGUGGACUUGUUAAUGUAUUAGAUUCUAAUGCCGCAUACUUGCAUUUUUAUAAUAACAAUCCGGCCAAUGAAAUCAGAAGAAUUGCAGUAGCAGUGCGGAUAUUUGUCUUCUCUUAUUGGAAUGGAUGAGCGGCAUAGAGCAGACUUUUGAAGAACCGCUUGCUAUUAGUGGAAUGAAAUCUCAGUCGGCAGGAAAGUGACAGCUACAAAUAAGUAGUAUAAUUGGCUAUCUUACUAGAUAGGCAUAAUGGAAGAUCAGUUUUCAUUUCUUUAUAGGUGGAAUUCAUAUGAUGAUGAUGGUUUUCAGUGGUAUGAUAAGCUGUAGCAUAGAAUAUAUUUGAACAUGCAUUCCACUUUAUGCUGAUAGAUGCUCCCAGAAGUUCCAGUGAAGAAUUGUUUAUUCACAAAGAGGCCUUGCCUUUUGGAUUCUGCUUUAGAUAAAACAAUGCAAUUUGCUUCACUGAUCCUUGUUACUCUACUGAUGAUAGGUGGUUCUGCCUGAGCUUUUGAUAUUCUAACAUGCCAUUAUGCAGCUCUUCCGCCAAUGGCUGUCAGGUACCUCAACAAGUCUGGAGAUAGUGCGAUUUCAGAAUCGAAUCAUAUAUGCAUCAAGGGAGGGGACCAAAUCACUCCACUCUUUUGGGACUUAUCGAGAGGGUGGUGAAGAGGUUAAAAUAUUUGUGUAUUUCCGUUAGAAAUCGUUUAACAGCGUUAGUUUCAGGGGCAGCAGGGGUAAUUGUGUGAUUAAUGGCUACAUCUGUGUGUAUGUGCUGCAUCUGUUCUUGUUGUUCUGUUUCAAGCCCAUAUGCAAAACUAGUUGUACUCAGAAUAUGUAAUGCAGUAUGGCUGUGAGCCUGUGAUGCUUAUUAAGUUAAUCUCUUGCUAAUGUUUAUAUUAUCUU
Molecule: long non-coding RNA, 1087 nt
Organism: Daucus carota subsp. sativus
Lineage: Eukaryota; Viridiplantae; Streptophyta; Magnoliopsida; Apiales; Apiaceae
Exons: 2
Source: RefSeq, a predicted model, not a curated record